GGUUCGCAUUGGAGCCCGCCACGCUCCCAUCCCGUGUCCUUUGUUUGCUGAUUCAUGCCGCACUCAUCUUGCAGCCGCAUCGUCGUCGUGGCGGCUCUGCUUCUCCUGUGCGGGAGCGCACGAGCCGUAGUCCUGUCGCGAGAGUACUCGCAAACCGACGCGAGACGGUCCCUGCAGUACGCAAACGUGACGUACGCUGACAUCGAUGCCAUCGAGAGUUGGAAGUGCGGAGGCAGCUGCAACGCAAACCCGUCGUUCAAGGUGACAUCGAUUGUGAAGGGCGACGACGCGCACAGUCUGCUUGCCUACGUGGGUGUCGACGACGGCAGCGCGCAAGUGGUCGUGGCGCUUCGUGGCUCUGCGACGCAGCAGGAAAAGCUUAUGCGCCGGCCCGCGGAGCCCGUCCUGUACGACAUCACAUCCGGCUGCGGCCUUGAGUGUCGGGUGCACACCGGCUUCCAAAGAAGCUACUUGGCCGUCCGCCGCACCGUCCGCGCUGCUGUCGUGCGUGACUUGACGAUGCAUCCCGGUUACAAUGUUCUGGUGACGGGCCACUCCGUUGGCGCGGCAGUGGCGCUGCUGGCGGCGGUAGACGUGCAGGCGCAUGUGAAUCGCAUGUUCUUUGUGUCACGGCCGAUUGUGUCGCUCUACACGUUUGGCAUGCCUCGCGUGGGCAACCGAGCAUUUGCGGUGUGGGCAGCUGGCAUGCUCUCGCGGGGUUCCCAUUUCCGCAUCACAAGUCGACAUGAUCCCGUGCCCCGGAUGCCCUCCAGCGGCAGUGCGGGCUUUCAGCACGUCCCCUAUGAGGUUUACUGCGCCGCUGCUGCGGGCACAAACUGCCGCGUGUGCGAGGACAGCGCCGAUGGCGACGACCCGACAUGCAUCGUGCAAGCAUCCAAGGUGGAUAUGCGGGACCACUUCUUCUACUUUGGGGAGCGUAUCUCAGGUGGCGCCGCUGGGGAUGCCAUGCUGUACCUGUAACCUCUGCAACCUCCUGUCAAAGAGCCUCAUGGGUGGGCAGCCUUAUUGGUUUUGGUCACUUCCCGCACUUGCCGAUGCACCGCCUUGGCAGAACAUCCUGUGAGCGCACGUGGGGGUCACUCCUAGAUGUAUUCCUUCACAUCUUUCUUUUCUCGGUUCUUUUUCGCUCCUCUUGGUGCUCUUCGCUACUGUGGGGCAGUGGCGAGUGUUGUGAUGAGGGCUUUUACACGAGUCCCAGCCAGUAAUCAGCUUCGUGUCUCGUCCUUUCCCUCUAUAAGCGUUCGCUCGGCUGUUGGGUUUUUGUUAUCCUGAAGUCUUCUUCAGGCAGUCCUCCUCCGUGGUGCGCAGCCCGCGACGCACAUACACAUAGC
Molecule: unclassified non-coding RNA, 1352 nt
Filed under: Leishmania donovani
Lineage: Eukaryota; Euglenozoa; Kinetoplastea; Trypanosomatida; Trypanosomatidae
Description: gene:LdHU3.31.1280(CDS-product:lipase_putative)
Source: RNAcentral